This 497-nucleotide ribosomal RNA is filed under the name uncultured bacterium. Its description in RNAcentral is "partial 16S ribosomal RNA". It matches the Rfam family "Bacterial small subunit ribosomal RNA", at positions 28 to 507 of the family's 1533-position model. The record is from RNAcentral.
GAUGAACGCUGGCGGCGUGCCUAAUACAUGCAAGUCGAGCGAACAGACGAGGAGCUUGCUCCUCUGACGUUAGCGGCGGACGGGUGAGUGACACGUGGAUAACCUUCCUAUAAGACUGGGAUAACUUCGGGAAACCGGAGCUAAUACCGGAUAAUAUAUUGAACCGCAUGGUUCAAUAGUGAAAGACGGUUUUGCUGUCACUUAUAGAUGGAUCCGCGCCGCAUUAGCUAGUUGGUAAGGUAACGGCUUACCAAGGCGACGAUGCGUAGCCGACCUGAGAGGGUGAUCGGCCACACUGGAACUGAGACACGGUCCAGACUCCUACGGGAGGCAGCAGUAGGGAAUCUUCCGCAAUGGGCGAAAGCCUGACGGAGCAACGCCGCGUGAGUGAUGAAGGUCUUCGGAUCGUAAAACUCUGUUAUUAGGGAAGAACAAAUGUGUAAGUAACUAUGCACGUCUUGACGGUACCUAAUCAGAAAGCCACGGCUAACUACGUG